ACUCCUACGGGAGGCAGCAGUGGGGAAUAUUGCACAAUGGGGGAAACCCUGAUGCAGCCAUGCCGCGUGUGUGAAAAGGCCUUCGGGUUGUAAAGCACUUUCAGUAGGGAGGAAGGUAGUGUAGUUAACACCUGCACUUAUUUGACGUUACCUACAGAAGAAGCACCGGCUAACUCCUGCCAGCAGCCGCGGUAAUACGGAGGGUGCAAGCGUUAAUCGGAAUUACUGGGCGUAAAGCGUGCGCAGGCGG
RNAcentral lists this ribosomal RNA (250 nucleotides) under uncultured bacterium. Its description in RNAcentral is "partial 16S ribosomal RNA". It matches the Rfam family "Bacterial small subunit ribosomal RNA", at positions 335 to 578 of the family's 1533-position model. The record is from RNAcentral.